This 440-nucleotide ribosomal RNA is filed under the name uncultured bacterium. RNAcentral describes it as "partial 16S ribosomal RNA". It matches the Rfam family "Bacterial small subunit ribosomal RNA", at positions 339 to 795 of the family's 1533-position model. The record is from RNAcentral.
CUACGGGAUGCUCCAGUGGGGAAUUUUGCGCAAUGGGCGAAAGCCUGACGCAGCAAUACCGCGUGAGUGAAGAAGGCCUUUGGGUCGUAAAGCUCUUUUCUGGGGGAAGAUAGUGACGGUACCCCAGGAAUAAGCACCGGCUAACUCCGUGCCAGCAGCCGCGGGUAAUACGGAGGGUGCAAGCGUUGUUCGGAUUUACUGGGCGUAAAGGGCACGUAGGCGGCACAGCAAGUUAAGGGUGAAAUCCCGGGGCUCAACUCCGGAACUGCUCUUAAAACUGCUGAGCUAGAGAUAGUCAGAGGCGGGUGGAAUUCCUGGUGUAGAGGUGAAAUUCGUAGAUAUCAGGAGGAACACCGGUGGCGAAGGCGGCCCGCUGGGGCUAUUCUGACGCUAAGGUGCGAAAGCGUGGGGAGCGAACGGGAUUAGAUACCCCCGUAGUC